This 668-nucleotide ribosomal RNA is filed under the name Cryptosporidium ryanae. Its description in RNAcentral is "SSU rRNA". It matches the Rfam family "Eukaryotic small subunit ribosomal RNA", at positions 298 to 1003 of the family's 1831-position model. The record is from RNAcentral. Lineage: Eukaryota; Apicomplexa; Conoidasida; Eucoccidiorida; Cryptosporidiidae.
UUCAAGUUUCUGACCUAUCAGCUUUAGACGGUAGGGUAUUGGCCUACCGUGGCUAUGACGGGUAACGGGGAAUUAGGGUUCGAUUCCGGAGAGGGAGCCUGAGAAACGGCUACCACAUCUAAGGAAGGCAGCAGGCGCGCAAAUUACCCAAUCCUAAUACAGGGAGGUAGUGACAAGAAAUAACAAUACAGAGCCUUACGGUUUUGUAAUUGGAAUGAGUUAAGUAUAAACCCCUUAACAAGUAUCAAUUGGAGGGCAAGUCUGGUGCCAGCAGCCGCGGUAAUUCCAGCUCCAAUAGCGUAUAUUAAAGUUGUUGCAGUUAAAAAGCUCGUAGUUAAUUUUCUGUUAAUUUUUAUAUACAAUGCUACGGUAUUUAUAUAAUAUUAACAUAAUUCAUAUUACUUUUUAAGUAUAUGAAACUUUACUUUGAGAAAAUUAGAGUGCUUAAAGCAGGCUAUUGCCUUGAAUACUCCAGCAUGGAAUAAUAUUAAGGAUUUUUAUUCUUCUUAUUGGUUCUAGAAUAAAAAUAAUGAUUAAUAGGGACAGUUGGGGGCAUUUGUAUUUAACAGUCAGAGGUGAAAUUCUUAGAUUUGUUAAAGACAAACUACUGCGAAAGCAUUUGCCAAGGAUGUUUUCAUUAAUCAAGAACGAAAGUUAGGGGAUCGAAG